This 765-nucleotide long non-coding RNA is filed under the name Zostera marina. RNAcentral's name for it is "long non-coding RNA (ZMAR_LNC000374)". The record is from RNAcentral. Lineage: Eukaryota; Viridiplantae; Streptophyta; Magnoliopsida; Alismatales; Zosteraceae.
AUUGGCUUGAUGGUAGAUGCAGUAAUGACUAAUUAAUUAGCGAGAUAACAUAAAAUUUGAGAUAUCUUUCAUCCAACCCUUGGAAUAUGAUCCAUCGGUUAACUUCACCAUUCACCAAUGCCAAAUCUUUUGCCGGAUUCUUGAAAAAAUACAAUGAAGGAAAAGAGAGUACGGUGUACCAUACAAACGUGAUAACUCAGUAACGUUGCAUUUCUCUAUUUGUAGAUCCAACGGUAGAAAAGCAUAAGAGAAGUUACCCAAUUGCAACAAGAAAAAAAAAAAAAUCCCAAAUCCAAAUUUCAAACACACAUGACAUGUUAGAUCUUUGUCUUAUCUUGCUAACUUACACACGACCCGUACUUGACAUCGACAUCGUACCGAUCAACACCAACCGGCAAAAAGCAAAAGAAGCUCGGAAGAGACCGGUGGUGCUAUUAUUGUUAAUCAUCCGAGAUUAGUGGUAAAUACGAAAUAUCACUCACUAAUUCACACUAUAUAGGAGAUAAAAUAGGUCAUGUAAAGACCGAUCGACCACUGUUCUAUUUUUUUAAUAAUUCAAUUUCUUACAUUUUUUUAUGUUUAUCUGCGUGCGCAGUGCCGUACAUGUUUAGUUAAUUGCUCUGCAUAACACUCUUCCGUUUUCUGUACGAUUUCCGUACUGACCGACCGACCGACCGACCGAACGAACUUAAAUGAAUGGUGUGUGAGAUGUUCGUGUCAGGCUUUGCGACCAUACCGAUAGAAGAAAAAAAUUAGUACACGUGG